UACGGAGGGGGCUAGCGUUAUUCGGAAUUACUGGGCGUAAAGCGCACGUAGGCGGCUUUGUAAGUCAGAGGUGAAAGCCCGGGGCUCAACUCCGGAACUGCCUUUAAGACUGCAUCGCUUGAAUCCAGGAGAGGUGAGUGGAAUUCCGAGUGUAGAGGUGAAAUUCGUAGAUAUUCGGAAGAACACCAGUGGCGAAGGCGGCUCACUGGACUGGUAUUGACGCUGAGGUGCGAAAGCGUGGGGAGCGAACGGG
This 253-nucleotide ribosomal RNA is filed under the name uncultured bacterium. Its description in RNAcentral is "partial 16S ribosomal RNA". It matches the Rfam family "Bacterial small subunit ribosomal RNA", at positions 524 to 776 of the family's 1533-position model. The record is from RNAcentral.